GUAAAUAUUGCAGGGAUAAGUUAACAUUGCAGUCUCAAUCUCCACCCAACCCACACAGUAUCUCAAGGCAGGCAGAUUAUCUUCAUCUACAUUAUGAUCUCUUCAGCUCAAUGGAAUGACCAGAAAACCCAAUAAGAAAACAAACAGCACAUGGCAGCUCUGGGGAAGCUGUGCACAAAUGCCGGCAGAGGUGUGUUCUCUUUCACCUGGCAAGCAAUCUUGGACACCCUGAAGCAUGAAGACUAAUAGGCCUGCACAGCUGAGAAAAUACUUUUCUUCAUGGGAACACCUAGUCUUUCUUGUCCUUUACCAUGCUUUCAUGGUUUUGAAAUGUUGCUGUCAAUAUUCCAGAUUAAAACAUCAUGUGCAGUAUGGAUCAUUAAGAAGGUUCAUACUACAGUUCUGUGGAAUAACAAUGUCCUGAGUUCUUCAGAUCUCAGAAGAGAACUACGUAUCCCGGAAGACAUCGUGGCCAGGGAUAAGUCAUGGGAGGAGGACAUACAUAAUCUCUCUCCCAGGCUGGAGCUCUCUCAGACUCUCAGAGUGGGAAGCAUUCCAGCUAUGUCACCUAGAGUUCACAGUAGGCCUCUUGGUUUUAGGGGACUCCCUCUCUGUUUUAUUCAAUUUAUUAGCCUUAAUCAUAUCGUAUUAUAUUGUGCUAUCUUGUAUUCUGUUAUCAUAUUUAGUAAAAUAAGUUUUCUUCCUUAGAUCACCACUGCUGUUCUCUUUUCCCAUUUCCCUUUUCCCUACUACCAGCUAUGAAUCUACUCUCCAUUCCAACUGCUCUGUUUAAGGGGUUGAAACCAAUUAUGAUCAUCUCAAUGUAUUGGCCAAUUGUCAAUCCCAUGAUUUAUUGUUGUGGAAUUGUGUUCAUAUAUUACCAAAUAAGGGCACUGAUGGAGACACCUGCCUGGUACUUAUAUGUGAUGUGGUAUAAUUUGAAUUCUGGCACUUACCUCCCAGAUGGAAUAGCUAAUUUUACAAACACUUGCAUCCCAAUUGGCAUAGCCAAUUUUACAAACACUACUAUAUUUAAUCCAGUGUACAGGCUGUCUUCUCAGAUUGCUGCAUGCUUUUCAAUAGCCGAGUUAGUGUUCAUACUCAUGUUUAUGUUAUCAAUAUCAAUGCAUGUAUAUGUAUUCCAAUACAUUUGUUCUAUGCAGAAGUCUCCUCCAGAACCAGAGAAUACUGACUGGCAGGGAAUAUGGAAAGGUUCAGGAAAAAUCUUAGAAGCGUGGGGACCUGCAGUGUCGUGGGAUUUCACUCUUGAACACCUGAGGGACCCUGAGAAAUUAAGUGAGUAUUUGAGUCAGAGAUGGUGCGGCUUACAGAGAUCUAAGGAGGUAAACCUUAUUUGGGGUUUGGCUUAUGCAUACUGUGCUCUGUAUAAUACUAUUCUGGAAAGAGAGAGAGAUUCUGUUCUGACAUUCAAGCCACAAAAGAUAAUCCCCAGGUGAAUGCUGAUCAAUCACAGGAGGCACCAGUAACAAUAUCAGUUGCCCCUGUGGAAGGCAAGAAAUGGAAAUGGGUGUCCUCAUGUCUAGAACGGAAAAAAGAAGUGGAGGAGGAGGCAGCAGAAGAUCCAGGUGAUGGGUCUGGAUCAGCACUGCGAAAGGCAAAAGAACAAACUAAGAGCCAUGAAAGAGAGAGUGAUGAGGAAGAAAUUGCUGUUACUGUUUGUUGACCUCUGAAGGUGACUGAAAUCCAAGGCUCAAGAAAGGAGUUUACACGGCGUCAA
Molecule: non-coding RNA, 1738 nt
Organism: Coturnix japonica (Japanese quail)
Lineage: Eukaryota; Metazoa; Chordata; Aves; Galliformes; Phasianidae
Source: RefSeq, a predicted model, not a curated record